RNAcentral lists this transfer RNA (74 nucleotides) under Acinetobacter baumannii BJAB07104. Its description in RNAcentral is "tRNA-Arg". Lineage: Bacteria; Pseudomonadati; Pseudomonadota; Gammaproteobacteria; Moraxellales; Moraxellaceae. The record is from RNAcentral.
AAUCGUACUUUUGAUAUCACAAGAUGGAAUUUAAAAGGUCUAAAGCUUUAGAAGAGCUGAAGAUUUUAUAAAUA